This 10658-nucleotide long non-coding RNA is filed under the name Nicotiana tabacum (common tobacco). RNAcentral's name for it is "long non-coding RNA (NTAB_LNC015480)". Lineage: Eukaryota; Viridiplantae; Streptophyta; Magnoliopsida; Solanales; Solanaceae. The record is from RNAcentral.
UAGUCCAAAGCUCCAAAAUCACAUUUCCUUGAGCAAUUACUCCUAACUGGCUUAAAUCUAGCGAAAUAUCAACCAAGGAAGUCAACCAAUUCCAUAGGAAGUAAUCCUAAUCAAUAAAACUUCUAUCUUUAAAGAACUCCCAAAAAGUAAACAAAAGUCAACCCGGACUCGUGUGUCAAAAAUUCGGAACCAAUAUCAAAAGACGAUGACUCAUAAAUAGCCGACACCAAAUAUUUAAUUAGUUCCCAAAACCGAAUCUAAACCGGCAUUCAAAUUCCCAAAAUACACUCUCUUAAAGUGUAGGUAAAACACCCAAAUUUUCCUUCAAAAUUUCAUGUUCUCUGUCAAUGAUGUGUUGCAUUGUUCUCUCCGGGCACGUUUUACGAGAAUUUCCUCUUUUUAUUUUUAUAGGCCCAUUUGGUUUCAAAUAAAAUAAUGAAUAGGUUCUCGUGCUAUGAGGAAGCACUUUUGGAGUUGAGGAGCAUGAUGAAGCAUGGCAGGGAAAGCUUGACAGGACCCAUGUCGAGAAGGAACUUUUCAGCUUCGGGCACAAUUGGUUUCGAAUAGAUUGAAAAGCUGAUGGUGGAGCUUAAAGAGCAUGAGGAUUUCUCUGCUGAAUAAAGUUCUCAGGCAGCUCAGGAGCUAUGGUCUUUGAAGAAGUUGUUUGCCAAUAAAGAGGCUUAUUCCAGAUACUUCAGUCAAGGGUAUUCUCGAGUGAUGAAUAGUCUGCAAAUAUCACAAGACAAAGUGCAAGCUCUUGAAAACUCCUUGAAAGAUGAGAGGGAUGGUCUUGCUGAUUCAGAAGUUAAUAGGUUGAAUCUACAGUCUGAGAAGGGGGAAAGUAGAUGCCGACUAUGAAGUGCUCAAAAAUCAAAUCGGGCUUGCUUACAAUUAGCUUUAUUGGAAACCCAUUUGAAGAUUAGAGGUAGUCUGUGCUGGGAUCCCUGAUUUGGACGGGAAUAUUGAGAAAGUUAGACAUAAGGUGGAGGAAGCCUGGCUACUAAUAAUUUCAUCUACUUCCUAAGAUUAUUCCUUGAAAGAAGAGACGCUCUCAGAGUGGCCGAAUGAGGUUGACAAAGAAGAAGACACCGAAUCACAUCCUUCGAUUUCAACUCCUCAAAUGGAUCUUCCUUCGAUGGUACCAUCAACUUCUCAAACUUUUCCUCCUAUCCUCAAAUUGUUAAUCUAGAUUCUCCUUCUCAAAGCCAGCAAUAAGCAUUGGUACUUAGUGAAAAGUGCAGUAACCCGAGUUUGGGGUGUUAUCCGUGCAAUGACCCGUUUGAGGUAUUUUCUUAUUUGUUCUUUUUUGUUUGAGAAAUAUUUUGUUGAUCAUUUUGUGAAUAUGUUGAUGGAACAACUAUUUUUGAAGCCUUUGAGCCUUUGCUUAAUGAAUAGUUUAUGGCUUCUAUUUUCGUACUUAAAUUAUUUUUUAAUUCGGAAGUACUUUAUUUGAGUUUUCGAUUAUUGUUGGGUGUUGCUUGUUUGAGUAUUUUUAACAUGCAUCAUGACCAUAAUGAGAUCUUUAGGUCAUAUUAUUUGGGUGUUCAACUUGUGUGGAAUGAUGUCUUAAGCCCGUACUCUUUAGGUGCUUGACUCCAAAUAUAAAUAAUAUGUUUUUGAAAGCAAUGAAGAGGAUGUUUCUCUUUCACUUCAGUGUGAGAUAAGAUUGAGUUUAUUUAACUUUUUAGUCUUGAGAAAUUUUGAUCCUAUAUGACUUUUGGUCGAAUGGAGUAUUGAUCCCUUAGGACAUUUAGUUAGGAAAUAUUGAUCCCGAUAGGAAAUUGUAGUCUAAGAAAAUCCAGAUAGGACGUUUUCGUCUAAGGGGAUACUGAUCAAUAAAUGUAUAUCAUAUUGGAUUUGUCCCCAAGAGACACUUGAUUCACGGGGAUACUAAACCCAGUCUAAGGAACUCAUGUCUCUUGAAAGUAAGAGUAAAAGUGUCUUUCAUUAAUAUAUUUGGAAUAAUCGAUCCAAAUACAAUUAUGAAGUAGUAAGUCAUUCUACGAGACUUGACUAGUGAGAUGGAAUAAUAAAUCUGUAUUAUAUUAAAGUAAGCCAUUCAGAAAGGCUUUCAUAUUCAAUUUGAAUGGUCACUAUUGGACCGGAUACAAGAUAUGAGUUUGGAAUGAACUUUCUUUAGUUGCACUUUUAUUCGCCGAAACUAUAUCAUUCACGUAGAGUGAUUUUUUUAUUUGCAAAUUGUUUUUGACAUGGAAUUACGAUUUUUGAUUUGAACAUGGAGUUCGUGACUCAAACAUGGAGUUCCUGACUCGGACAUGGAGUUCUUGACUUAACAUACUUCUUGAUCAUCUUAAUCCAUGUAUAUUGAAUGUGUAAUCCCCCCAAUGUUCGAGUUGUAAGUAUGAAAACUCAGACACUGUCUUCUGCCAAAUGCCUUGAUCCAAUAGCUAGAUUUCAUGUCUUGACAUCUUGAUAUCCCUUUGGUCUGAUUCCUGAAAAUACGUAUAGGGGAUAAGGUGUAUAUUUUAGAUAAAGAUGGUGCCUUGGCCUUUUCAGUCAGAUAUUUAUUGGACUUGGGUGGAAUCUACAAAAGUUCUAAAUUAUUAUCAAUGGGAGAUGUACUCAUCAUUCCGGAAAGUCAGGGUAUAUGCCUAUAAUCUAAACUAAAUAAUUAAAUAAAAAAUGCACUAGAGGCGUGCCACACCACCGUGAAGAUGCUAUAAAUUGUAGUGCUUCAGGUGAGUGAUGUUCCACAUGGAGUGGAUCGGCUUUCCUUCCAUGGUCUCAAGCUUAUAAGUUUGUUUUCUCACAAUUUCACUGACUCUGUACGGGCUUUCCCAAUUAGGUCCAAGUUUUUUAGCAUUAAGCUCCUAUGUUGACAAAAAAAUAUUCCUAAGCACAAAGUCCCGUAUUUUUAAAUAUUGGAGAUUUUCUUUUUGAUUGUAGCAUUUAUCAAUCCGUUGCUUUCAUGCAACCAUCCAGAUCAAUAUUAUUUCUCUUCGUCCUUCUAAUAAAUCUAAAUUGGUUGUCUACGCAUCAUUAUUAGAGUCUCGAUUUGCAGGUGCAAACCUUAAGCUGGGUUCUCUUAUUUCGACCAGAAUUAAUGCUUCUGAUUCGUACAGUAGUGAACAUGGAGUUUCACCUAUACUUGUCCUUGCUGUCUCGCGAUAGGCCCAUAGGACUCUGGGUAGCUCUUCCAUCCAUCGCCCCUUAGAUGUUUCUAGUCAUUUCUUCAAAUUAUCAAUUAUGAUUUUGUCUAAGACUCUGUCUGGAUAUUUACUUGGGAUGUUAAGGAGAUGAUGUGAUCCUUUUGAUUUUUCAUUCCUCGAAGAACUUAGUAAUUUUUUCAUCAAUAGACUAUGUUCCAUUAUUGCUUACUAUUUUCCUUGGUACACCAAAUCGAUAUAUUAUGUUUCUUCAAACAUAUUCUAUCACUUCUUUCUCUUGGAUACUUGCAAAUACACCUGGCUCUACCUACUUAGUAAAAUAGUCAUUCAAAACCAACAAAAAAUAUACCUAAGUGAUCCGACUAUGUACAUCCCCUAUUUCAUGAAAGGGCAAGGGGUUAAAGUUGAAUGUAUGGGUUCUAUAUGCUAAUGCAGAAAAUAAGCUUACAGUUGGCACUUGUCACACCUUUCGACAAAGGUUGUUGCAUCAUCUUGCAUCCGAGACCAAUAAUAUCUGGCUCGGAUGAGAUUUUGAGCUAAAGAUUUGUCUCCAAAAUGAUUUCCAUAAUUUCCUUCGUGGAUUUCUCGCAUGAUAUAAUUCGUUUGACCGGGGCUUAAGAAUUUGGCUAAGAGGCCAUUUAAUAUCCUCUGAUAUAGCUCACCUUCAAUGAGGCAAUAUCGGAUAGCUUGUAUUCAUAGUUGUCAGGAUGCAUUCUUAUCUUCGGGUAAUACCUCAUUCUACAAAUAAUCAAUAAACUCAUAAUGCCAAUCCGAAGUUAAAUUUACCUUAUCUUUAUUUUGAUAAAUAGUUGAUAGAAAUAUGUGGACAACAAAGUUAUUUCCGGAAUCAAUGAUGUUUGCAACUGAUCCGAGAUUUACAAGUGUACCUGCCUCUGCAUUCUCUUCUCGUGGUAUUUGAAUCACUUUUCAUUUUCGGGAUUUUUCCAACUGUGAUUUAACUUUAUAGUGAAGUUGCAUCAUGCUUUCUCCAGAUGCAUACUCCUUGUAUUUGAUUGAGCAUAAGCUGAGAGUCCUUUUUAUGCUCGAUACUUUUUGCUCCUAACUCUUUGGCUAAUUCGAUCCCUGCAACCAUAGCUUCAUACUUGGCUUUAUUAUUAUAAUUGAAUGAUAUUUACUAUAUUAUUUAAUUGCUUACUCGGAAGAAGUGAUAAGUAUUAUUACCAAACCAAACCCGUUAUCAGAUGAGAUAUUCGUAAAUAGGGUCGAAGUUUUGGAAACUGUCCUUGAAGCAAUCGUUGCUUCCUUUUCAACCUCAUGGAGUAUUCCCGUACUAAAAUCAGCCAUGAAGUCAACUAAGACUUGAGAUUUGAUGGUAGUACAGGGUUGAUAAGUUACAUCAAACUCAAUAGUUCAACUUCCCACUUGAUAAAUCAUCCAGACAGUACAGGUUUAUGAAGAAAAUUCCGUAACGAGAAUAUUGUAACCACAAAAAUUGGAUGACAUUAAAAAUAAGACCUUAAUUUUCAGACAACUACUAUUAGUACCAAGGCUAAUGUUUCUAAAUGUAUAUACCUUGUUUCUGUUUCUAAAGUAUUUUACUAACAUAAUGUACAUGAGAUUAUGUAUAUUUGUCUUCUCGUGCUAUAAUCGCACUUACUGAGAUUUUGGAAACUGCCAAGUAGAUUAGAAACUUUUCUAUUUCUCCGUGUUUUAAAAGCAACGGUGGAUUCACUAGGUAGUUUAACAGGUCUUUCAAUGCUUGUUGGAAUUCUCGUGUCCACUCAAAAUCCUUAUGUUUCUUCAAUACAGAGAAAGAUUUGUAGCGCCUUUCGGAAGAUCUCGAUAUGAAUCUUCCAAAAGCUCCUAUCUUGCCGGUCAAUCUUUACACGUCUUUUUUUCUUGUUAGUAUAUCUGAGAUCUCGUCAAUAGCUUUGAUUUGAGCUGAGUUAUCACGACCCAAAAUGCCACACUGGUCAUGAUAGAGCCUGACCCACUGGCUAGGCAAGCCAAUCAUAAAGCAAUAAUCAAACAUGAUAACAAAGUAUAAGUUAUGUAAGUCUAAGAGUCAACUAUCAUAAAUAUAGACUGUAUCAAUACAUAAAUCUCCCAAAAUUGAUAAUACAGAGUCAUGAGUUCUACGACAAGAGUACAAGUCUGAUAAUAUAAAAUAUUAUCUAAACAACAACAACAACAACAAUGAUAGAAAUGGAAAGAGAGACCAAGGACUGCGAUUAGGAUGCAGUUCUAUCUCGCCUCUCAGCAACUCAACAAUGAUCCAACACAACUCUCAGCUAGGUCUCACACAUGGAUCUGCAUAACUAAGUGUAAUGUGUAGUAUGAUUACAACCGACCCCAUGUACUCUGUAAGUAUCAUGACUAACCUCGGAGAGGUAGUGACAAGAAUCACCAAUAAUACUCACGUGAUAAAUCUGUACAAGUCAUGAAUACAAAUAUACGUAGCAACAAUACGAGAAUAUAUACAUAAGAUACAAAUAAGAUCUAUAGUGCAAUAGAGAAGAUAUGCACUGGCAUCGAACCGAACAAUAGUUUAGGAUAUAGAGAGGAUAUGCAUAAACGGACAAGUCAACUACACAGAGAAAGACAUAUAGGGAAGAUAUGUAGUGAGUAUUCUUUCAUCAACUAAGCAACUAUAGAGAAGAUACACAUAAAAUGGUAUGCAUAUAGUUUUAGAGCUAACAUAUAGAGGAGAUAUGUAGUAAAAUCAUGUAUACCCAAGGAGUUUGCAUAUAGAGAAGAUACACAAAAACCUACCACCGAUCAGUUUUUCAUAAUCGCGUGUACGUCAUCAAGGAGAAACAUGAGCGGACGGCCCUAGGGGAUGGAUCAUUAUCCACACGCUGCAUGGACAACUCACGUGCUACAGUCAUCUCAACCCGUACGGACAACCACAUGCUGUCAAACCAGUCCAUAAUACAAAAAACAUAUAAACAAAUACAUGCAUACAGUCAAUGGACAUCAAAUGACAUACUCCUGGACUGAUAAAAUUGCAUGCUAAAGUGUAUGCAUGUGCAAAUUGUACUAACUAUGAACUCANNNNNNNNNNNNNNNNNNNNNNNNNAUAGGAGGAAGGAUAUGGCACUGGCAUCGAACCCGAACCAAUAGUUUAGGAUAUAGAGAGGAUAUGCAUAAACGGACAAGUCAACUACACAGAGAAAGACAUAUAGGGAAGAUAUGUAGUGAGUAUUCUUUCAUCAACUAAGCAACUAUAGAGAAGAUACACAUAAAAUGGUAUGCAUAUAGUUUUAGAGCUAACAUAUAGAGGAGAUAUGUAGUAAAAUCAUGUAUACCCAAGGAGUUUGCAUAUAGAGAAGAUACACAAAAACCUACCACCGAUCAGUUUUUCAUAAUCGCGUGUACGUCAUCAAGGAGAAACAUGAGCGGACGGCCCUAGGGGAUGGAUCAUUAUCCACACGCUGCAUGGACAACUCACGUGCUACAGUCAUCUCAACCCGUACGGACAACCACAUGCUGUCAAACCAGUCCAUAAUACAAAAAACAUAUAAACAAAUACAUGCAUACAGUCAAUGGACAUCAAAUGACAUACUCCUGGACUGAUAAAAUUGCAUGCUAAAGUGUAUGCAUGUGCAAAUUGUACAACUAUGACUCAAAUUAGGCGAAUACGCCACACAACAACGAGCAUCACAUUCAAACAAGAAAAGUAAUCAUACACAUGAUCUCUAGUAUGAUUCACAAAAUUAUGAAGUCGUACGACAUAUAAGGCAUGAUAUCAAGAAUCACAAAUAUUCAAUUCAAGGGAUAAUAUAGCCUAAAGACUACCUUGAGCAUGGAUAAACCUAGUGCACGCACAUUAGCUCGACCUAUCGCAUGUAUGUCACCCCUAACACAUAGCCAACAUCAACAAUUCAAGAAACUAGUAUCUUAAGCCAAGGUUAGGAAAGAUACUUACCUCAAAUGAGCCAAUACUCCAAAAUAUCCAACUCAUGUGCAUCGACUUCCGAACGGCUCGAAUCUAGCAAAACACAGCUCAAUAACGUCAAAUAAAGCCAUAGGAAACAACCCCAAAUAAUAAAACUUUGAUCUUUAAUCAAAUUUUCAAAAGUCAACAAAAAGUUAAAUAGGGCUCACACGGUUAAAAUCCGAGUCAAGGGGUAGAUCCCGACUACCCAUAAUCCCACGAGUCCAAAUAUGUGAUUCGAUUCCAAAAGCGAGUCCAAAUCGACUCCCAAAUCUUUAAUUUACACUCUCAAAAAUUGUAGUCAAUCCCCCCCCCCCCCCCCCCCAAACUUUCUCUUCCAAAUAUCACGAUCUAUGCGUAAACAUCCAUGGGAAUACAAGAUUUAUAAAAAAAUGUUGAGUAGAAAUCACUUACCUUCAAAGUGGUGAUGCAAUCCUCCCUAGAAAUUGCGUAUAUCCGAGCUCCAAAACUCAAAAUUGUGAAAUAUGCUCAAACCCUCGAAAUAUACAUUUUGCCCAGCGACUUCUGUAUUUGCAGACAAAUCUAGCGCUUUUGCGACACCGCUUAUGCAAUAAAACCUUGCAUCUGCGAGUUUCAAUUAAACAUCCACCCUUCACACUUGUGGAUCUUGAAUCCACUUCAACAAUCCUGCAGGUGCGAUAACUUUCCACCUUUGCGCAAGCUCCCCAAGCCUACCUGCCUCCACUUCAGCAUACAAAUCCUCUGCAUCUACGAAUUUGCAGAUGCGCCAAAGCUUCGUAUCUGCAGAAUAUCUAGUCCUCAACCAUGCUUCACAUCUGCGAUCACCAGUUUGCUUCUACAAACUCGCACCUACGCACGCUGCCUCGCAGGUGCGACACACCAACACCAGAAGUGCUUCUAACCUCACCUCUAAAAUGAUCCAGAAUCCAUCAGAAACACACCCAAGCCCUUCGAGACCCCAAUAAGUCCCAAUAAUUUAUCCAAACUUGCCCGAAUGCUCAAAACACCACGACUAAUAUCAAAAUCACGAAUCGACGAUCAAAACACAAGUUAAGCUUCUCUUAAGUUCAUCAAAUUCUAAACUUCAAACCACACGCCCGAUUCAAGCCUAACCAAUCCAGAUUUUAUCCAAACUUUGCACACAAGUCCCAAAUGAAAAAACAAACAUAUUCCAACUUCUGAAACAACAAUCCAAAUUUGAUAUCAUCAAAGUCACCCCCGGUCAAAUUUAGGAACUCUCCAAACCUUCAAAUUGUCAACUUUAGGCAAUUAACAUCAAACAUUCUAGGAACCUCCAAAUCUGAUUCCGAACAUAUGCACAAGUCCAAAAUUACGGUACAAAACUAUUAAAACCCUCAAAUCACCAAUCCGAGACCGUUUAUAUAAAAGUCAAACCUUAGUCAACUCUUACAACUUAAGUUUUCAACAAAGAAACUAAGUAUUUUAAUUUACUCCAAAACCUCCCCGGAACAAAACCAACCAUCUCCAUAAUUCACAGUUCAUCAAGCAUGCUUGGGAGAAACAUCAAAUAGGGGAAUGAGGCUCAAAUACACAAAACGACUAGACGGAUCGUUACAUUAUCCCCCUCUUGAACAAACGUUCGUCCUCGAACGCGUUUAGAAUCAUACCUGAAAUACCAAAUAGGUGAGGAUACAAACUCCACACAUCAUGCUCGAUCUUCUAUGUUGCCUCCUUAACUAGCUGAACUAUCCACUGGACCUUCAUUGACGCGAUCUUUUUAGACUUGAGAUUUUGAACUUGCCUAUCCAAAAUGGCCACCGACUCCUCCUCAUAAGCUAGAUUCCCAUCCAACUACACUGUGCUGAAGUCCAAACAUGUGACUUGUCUUCAUCAUUUUCACGGAGCAUAGAAAUGUGAAGCACCAAAUGAACUCCCGAAAGACUAGGUGGCAAAGCAAGUUUUUAGGCAACCUCGCCAACUCUCUCCAACACCUUGAAAGGACCAAUAAACCUCGGCUUAACUUGCCCUUCUUCCCUAAACUCUUUACGCCCUCCAUAGGCAAAACUCCAAGUAGAACCUUCUCCCCCUCCAUGAAUGCCACAUCACAAACUCAUCUAUCAGCAUAAUCCUCUCCUGAAUCAACUUCACCUUCUCCAAUGCAUCACAAACCAAGUCUGUGGCCAUCAACCUAGCCUCCCUAGGCUCAAACUUACCGACUGGAGAACGACAUCGUCUGCCAUAUAAGGCCUCAUAUUGUACCAUCUCGAUGCUAGAGUGGUAGAUAUUGUUGUAUGCAAACUCUGUUAAUGGUAGAAACUGAACCCACUGGCCACCAAAAUCAAUAACUCAGCCUUUCAACAUAUCCUCCAGGAUUUGAAUGGUCCGCUCGGAUUGCCCGUUGUUGAUACUCAAUUUUCCCUCAUAUUUUUAUAAAGUAUUUCAUAUACUUUAAAAAAUUAUUUUGCAUUAUUAACCUAUUUAUAUAAUUCAUACAAGUGAUUUCUAUAAUUUUUAGAGUUUUAAAUCUGAUUUCUUGCAAUAUUUGUUCUAAAUUGUCAAGUACUUACUAAUUAGUCUUUCAAGUUAUUUUGAGUCAUUUAAUUAUAUAAAUUAAUUAUUUAUAUCCAUAUUCAUAUCUAUAAUAUUUUAAUUUAUUUUAUAUAAUUAUAUUUUCACUUUUGAUUAUUAUUUAUAAUAUUUGCAAUAAUAGCCUAUACUCUAAAUAAUUGUAUUUACUAUAUUAUUGGGUCAAAAUAGCAUUUUUAUAUUUUUAGAAUCAUGAUCCACUAUUUCAAAGUACUAAAUAGCAUAAAUAGAUUUUUUUUAUAUUUACCUAGUUAUUUUAUUAAUUUAUUUUCCUUAACAACAUUUAUUUUUAAUUCUAGCCCAAAUUUGAGCCAAUUUUCGGACCAAAUAGGCCCAAAUCACUAGCUCAGAGAUCCCAAACCCUUAGCCCAAUCUCCCAUGUCCCAAACCAAACGGGCCCUUUUAAUUAUAAUCUAAUUAGGACCCAUUUUUGACAGGCCCCACAUUUCCUCUAAUCCUGGCCGUUGAUCCCAAACGAUUAACGACCCACAACCGUUCCCCCGUUUUUAAUUGCCCAACCCCUAACCCUAAUCCUCACUCACCUCAACCCCCGCCCCUAAACUCUCUGCAAUCUUUCCCUUUCUCUGAAGAACCCUAGCCGCCUCCCCUUUCAAUCCCUCUCCGAAUCCCGUUAACAAUAGGAUUCACCCAUUAUUUGCUUACCAUAUUUGUGUUCCCUCGCCAUUGGUUUCCCCUUUAUGAUAUCACUUAGGUACUUUCUUGAUUUUGGCAAGUACCCUCUAUAUAAUUGGACGAUGAUUUCGUCUACAUACGUUCAACGAGGAAUGAUUUUGCAAUUUUGGUUUGAUUUACAGCUGGUCGGACCCGAUUGGAGUUUGAUAUUUUUAUCUCCUUUACCGGUUCUGAUUGCAUGAGAUCUUUUCUUUUCUUUUUUAUGUUUAAAUUAAUUAUUUUCCAUGAUUGUUUGUUCAAAUCGAUAACUAUAUAACCCCACCCCGAUUCCCCUUUUGGACGGACUUUUAAUCACUAUCACUAUCUCACUCAGUUACUCACUUUAUUCUGAAACUUUGGUUCUUGACCGGCAGAAAGCCAAGGACAUCGAAAUUUGCUUUAUCGACCUUCCCAGUGCGAGCACUCCUCGG